AGUGAACGCUGGCGGCAGGCCUAACACAUGCAAGUCGAACGGCAGCACAGAGGAGCUUGCUCCUUGGGUGGCGAGUGGCGGACGGGUGAGGAAUACGUCGGAAUCUGCCUAUUUGUGGGGGAUAACGUAGGGAAACUUACGCUAAUACCGCAUACGACCUACGGGUGAAAGCGGAGGACCUUCGGCGUUCGCGCAGAUAGAUGAGCCGACGU
This 212-nucleotide ribosomal RNA is filed under the name uncultured bacterium. RNAcentral's name for it is "partial 16S ribosomal RNA". It matches the Rfam family "Bacterial small subunit ribosomal RNA", at positions 29 to 236 of the family's 1533-position model. The record is from RNAcentral.